GAUGAACGCUGGCGGCGUGCCUAAUACAUGCAAGUCGAGCGAACAGACGAGGAGCUUGCUCCUCUGACGUUAGCGGCGGACGGGUGAGUAACACGUGGAUAACCUACCUAUAAGACUGGGAUAACUUCGGGAAACCGGAGCUAAUACCGGAUAAUAUAUUGAACCGCAUGGUUCAAUAGUGAAAGACGGUUUUGCUGUCACUUAUAGAUGGAUCCGCGCCGCAUUAGCUAGUUGGUAAGGUAACGGCUUACCAAAGCAACGAUGCGUAGCCGACCUGAGGGGGGAGUCGGCAAAACGGAAACGGAAACACGGCACAAACACCAAGGGGGGGAAAAGGGAGGGAAUUUUCCGAAAGGGGGGAAAGCCUGACGGGGCAACGCCGGGGGGGGGAUGAGGUUUUUGGGAUCGUAAAACUUUUUUGUUGGGGAAAAAAAAAUGGGAAAGAAACUAUGCCCGUCUUAACGGUACCAAAAAAGAAAGCCACGGCUACCUACGG
Molecule: ribosomal RNA, 496 nt
Filed under: uncultured bacterium
Lineage: Bacteria
Description: partial 16S ribosomal RNA
Rfam family: Bacterial small subunit ribosomal RNA
Source: RNAcentral